This 486-nucleotide ribosomal RNA is filed under the name Vibrio parahaemolyticus. Its description in RNAcentral is "bacterial SSU rRNA". It matches the Rfam family "Bacterial small subunit ribosomal RNA", at positions 488 to 974 of the family's 1533-position model. The record is from RNAcentral. Lineage: Bacteria; Pseudomonadati; Pseudomonadota; Gammaproteobacteria; Vibrionales; Vibrionaceae.
AGCACCGGCUAACUCCGUGCCAGCAGCCGCGGUAAUACGGAGGGUGCGAGCGUUAAUCGGAAUUACUGGGCGUAAAGCGCAUGCAGGUGGUUUGUUAAGUCAGAUGUGAAAGCCCGGGGCUCAACCUCGGAAUUGCAUUUGAAACUGGCAGACUAGAGUACUGUAGAGGGGGGUAGAAUUUCAGGUGUAGCGGUGAAAUGCGUAGAGAUCUGAAGGAAUACCGGUGGCGAAGGCGGCCCCCUGGACAGAUACUGACACUCAGAUGCGAAAGCGUGGGGAGCAAACAGGAUUAGAUACCCUGGUAGUCCACGCCGUAAACGAUGUCUACUUGGAGGUUGUGGCCUUGAGCCGUGGCUUUCGGAGCUAACGCGUUAAGUAGACCGCCUGGGGAGUACGGUCGCAAGAUUAAAACUCAAAUGAAUUGACGGGGGCCCGCACAAGCGGUGGAGCAUGUGGUUUAAUUCGAUGCAACGCGAAGAACCUUAC